CAGUAGCCGCGGGAAUACGAAGGGGGCUAGCGUUGCUCGGAAUUACUGGGCGUAAAGGGCGCGUAGGCGGACAGCUAAGUUGGGGGUGAAAGCCCGGGGCUCAACCUCGGAAUUGCCUCCAAUACUGGCUGUCUUGAGUAUGAGAGAGGUGUGUGGAACUCCGAGUGUAGAGGUGAAAUUCGUAGAUAUUCGGAAGAACACCAGUGGCGAAGGCGACACACUGGCUCAUUACUGACGCUGAGGCGCGAAAGCGUGGGGAGCAAACAGGAUUAGAUACCCCCGUAGUCCCUGUCUCUUAUAC
RNAcentral lists this ribosomal RNA (301 nucleotides) under uncultured bacterium. Its description in RNAcentral is "partial 16S ribosomal RNA". It matches the Rfam family "Bacterial small subunit ribosomal RNA", at positions 509 to 807 of the family's 1533-position model. The record is from RNAcentral.